This 72-nucleotide transfer RNA is filed under the name Gongylonema pulchrum. It matches the Rfam family "tRNA". From Rfam's summary of the family: Transfer RNA (tRNA) molecules are approximately 80 nucleotides in length. Their secondary structure includes four short double-helical elements and three loops (D, anti-codon, and T loops). The record is from Rfam by way of RNAcentral. Lineage: Eukaryota; Metazoa; Nematoda; Chromadorea; Rhabditida; Gongylonematidae.
GGCUAGGUAGUGUAGUGGUUAGCAUGACACGUCCGAAUGUGAAGGCAAGAGGUUCGAUUCCCUUCCGGUCCA